This 492-nucleotide ribosomal RNA is filed under the name uncultured bacterium. RNAcentral describes it as "partial 16S ribosomal RNA". It matches the Rfam family "Bacterial small subunit ribosomal RNA", at positions 29 to 507 of the family's 1533-position model. The record is from RNAcentral.
AGUGAACGCUGGCGGUAGGCCUAACACAUGCAAGUCGAACGGCAGCACAGUAAGAGCUUGCUCUUACGGGUGGCGAGUGGCGGACGGGUGAGGAAUACAUCGGAAUCUACUUUUUCGUGGGGGAUAACGUAGGGAAACUUACGCUAAUACCGCAUACGACCUACGGGUGAAAGCAGGGGAUCUUCGGACCUUGCGCGAUUGAAUGAGCCGAUGUCGGAUUAGCUAGUUGGCGGGGUAAAGGCCCACCAAGGCGACGAUCCGUAGCUGGUCUGAGAGGAUGAUCAGCCACACUAGAACUGAGACACGGUCCAGACUCCUACGGGAGGCAGCAGUGGGGAAUAUUGGACAAUGGGCGCAAGCCUGAUCCAGCCAUGCCGCGUGGGUGAAGAAGGCCUUCGGGUUGUAAAGCCCUUUUGUUGGGAAAGAAAAGCAGCAGGUUAAUACCCCGCUGUUCUGACGGUACCCAAAGAAUAAGCACCGGCUAACUUCGUG